Molecule: non-coding RNA, 31 nt
Filed under: Mus musculus (house mouse)
Lineage: Eukaryota; Metazoa; Chordata; Mammalia; Rodentia; Muridae
Source: RNAcentral
UAGAAUCUGAAAAGCCCAAGAAUGGUGAACA